AGAGUUUGAUCAUGGCUCAGGACGAACGCUGGCGGCAUGCCUAAUACAUGCAAGUCGAACGAUGAAGCACUCUGCUUGCAGAGUGCGGAAGAGUGGCGAACGGGUGAGUAACACGUGGGGAACCUGCCCAUAAGAGGGGGAUAACAUCCGGAAACGGGUGCUAAUACCGCAUAGGUGAUCAUAGCGCAUGCUUAGAUCAUUAAAGAUGGCUUCGGCUAUCGCUUAUGGAUGGCCCCGCGGCGUAUUAGCUAGUUGGUAAGGUAAUGGCUUACCAAGGCAGUGAUACGUAGCCGACCUGAGAGGGUGAUCGGCCACACUGGGACUGAGACACGGCCCAGACUCCUACGGGAGGCAGCAGUAGGGAAUCUUCCACAAUGGGCGAAAGCCUGAUGGAGCAAUGCCGCGUGAGUGAAGAAGGUCUUCGGAUCGUAAAGCUCUGUUAUCGGAGAAGAACACGGAGUGCAGUAACUGGCAUUCCGCUGACGGUAUCCGACCAGAAAGUCACGGCUAACUACGUGCAGCAGCCGCGGUAAUACGUAGGUGACAAGCGUUGUCCGGAUUUAUUGGGCGUAAAGCGAGCGCAGGCGGUCUUUUAAGUCUGAUGUGAAAGCCCACGGCUCAACCGUGGAUGGUCAUUGGAAACUGGGAGACUUGAAUGCAGAAGAGGAAAGUGGAAUUCCAUGUGUAGCGGUGAAAUGCGUAGAUAUAUGGAGGAACACCAGUGGCGAAGGCGACUUUCUGGUCUGUAAUUGACGCUGAGGCUCGAAAGCGUGGGGAGCGAACAGGAUUAGAUACCCUGGUAGUCCACGCCGUAAACGAUGAGUGCUAAGUGUUGGAGGGUUUCCGCCCUUCAGUGCUGGAGCUAACGCAUUAAGCACUCCGCCUGGGGAGUACGG
Molecule: ribosomal RNA, 896 nt
Filed under: uncultured Bacillota bacterium
Lineage: Bacteria; Bacillati; Bacillota
Description: bacterial SSU rRNA
Rfam family: Bacterial small subunit ribosomal RNA
Source: RNAcentral